AACGAACGCUGGCGGCAUGCCUAACACAUGCAAGUCGAACGAGACCUUCGGGUCUAGUGGCGCACGGGUGCGUAACGCGUGGGAACCUGCCCUUAGGUUCGGAAUAACUCCCCGAAAGGGGUGCUAAUACCGGAUAAUGUCUUCGGACCAAAGAUUUAUCGCCUUUGGAUGGGCCCGCGUUGGAUUAGCUAGUUGGUAGGGUAAAAGCCUACCAAGGCGACGAUCCAUAGCUGGUCUGAGAGGAUGAUCAGCCACACUGGGACUGAGACACGGCCCAGACUCCUACGGAAGGGGGAAGUGGGGGAUAUUGGAGAAUGGGUGAAGGUAUGAAACAUCAAUGGCGCGGAAGUGAUGAAGACGUGGGGGGAGAAAAGCGCUUGGACCAGGGCUGGCAAUGACGGUACCGGGAAAAUAAGAUCAGGAUAACUCUGGG
This 433-nucleotide ribosomal RNA is filed under the name uncultured bacterium. RNAcentral describes it as "partial 16S ribosomal RNA". It matches the Rfam family "Bacterial small subunit ribosomal RNA", at positions 29 to 507 of the family's 1533-position model. The record is from RNAcentral.